This 910-nucleotide long non-coding RNA is filed under the name Mytilus galloprovincialis (Mediterranean mussel). Lineage: Eukaryota; Metazoa; Mollusca; Bivalvia; Mytilida; Mytilidae. The record is from RNAcentral.
UUUCAUACAUUUUAGAAACAAGUUUUUUAUUACUUUUUGCUACAAGACAGAGAUAUGUGACACCUUUGAGUUGCAUAAAACUUUCACUCUUCUACAUUUACACCUACCAGACCUACAACUGUAUUUUUUACACUAACAAUGCACAAAUCUUUUCCCUUCCCCCACUUAAGGAUAUCUUACGGACCAUCUCUCUAGCACUCAUAUCACUCAUUGGGACUUCAGACAUAUUUAAAGUUGCAUUUGCAAGAAAUUGAACCGGGUCUAUACUCAAGUAUUCCUUUAUUUGUCCAACUAAGUCUUCAGUUCCAAUUUUGUUGCCGCCAUAUGUUCAUUCACAUUCAUCACCAAGCCUGUUAUGUUUUUCACAUAUGGGCAGGGCCCAUAUCAAUGGACUGAAUGUGAAUGAUAACGUUUUCGCCUCAGUAGAGAACAGUUUAUCUAGUUUUUGAGUUUUUUGUCAAGGCAUGGGCUUGUACCUGCUGGCCAGAAAGCGUCACCUUUCGUGCACGCUUGAUGUCAGUAUUUUUAAUUUCAGAUAAACCCUCACUGGUAUUGACAGCAGGAAUAUCACCACCAGAAAGCACCCUCUUUCGAGGAAGUAUACCAGUAGAUUUCAUGCUGAUACUUCCUCACUAACCAUGUUCGCAUCAAUUCAUUACCAUUGUUUCUGUUUCUAACUCAUUUGUUCGUUCAUUGGUGUCUGCUGAAUCAUGACCAUUCAAUUAAUCAUCAGUUUCAAUGUUUGUGAAAGUAAUAAUGUCCGUCUCUGAAAUUGUUUUCAGUUUCGAUUUCUGUGUCUGUAUUAUGUUCUGUCUCGGUAAAAAAGGGUUUUCACUGUCAGUGUUAUUGGUUACAGAACUUGCUUCAAAUAUUGCUUCUAAGUCUUCUUCUGUUUGUAUACCAGGUAAUA